This 74-nucleotide transfer RNA is filed under the name Lactococcus lactis. RNAcentral's name for it is "tRNA-Ile". It matches the Rfam family "tRNA". Rfam says of the family: Transfer RNA (tRNA) molecules are approximately 80 nucleotides in length. Their secondary structure includes four short double-helical elements and three loops (D, anti-codon, and T loops). Further hydrogen bonds mediate the characteristic L-shaped molecular structure. tRNAs have two regions of fundamental functional importance: the anti-codon, which is responsible for specific mRNA codon recognition, and the 3' end, to which the tRNAs corresponding amino acid is attached (by aminoacyl-tRNA synthetases). tRNAs cope with the degeneracy of the genetic code in two manners: having more than one tRNA (with a specific anti-codon) for a particular amino acid; and 'wobble' base-pairing, i.e. permitting non-standard base-pairing at the 3rd anti-codon position. The record is from RNAcentral. RNAcentral also lists the same sequence under 1 other name. Lineage: Bacteria; Bacillati; Bacillota; Bacilli; Lactobacillales; Streptococcaceae.
GGUUCUUUAGCUCAGUUGGUCAGAGCUAUCGGCUCAUAACCGUUCGGUCGCUGGUUCGAGUCCAGCAAGAACCA